Molecule: small RNA, 444 nt
Filed under: Pan troglodytes (chimpanzee)
Lineage: Eukaryota; Metazoa; Chordata; Mammalia; Primates; Hominidae
Description: processed transcript
Source: RNAcentral
GUAUUGCCUGUUUCAAAUGUGACAGUGUAGAAAUUGAGAAGCUGGAUUACCAUCAUUAUCUGCCUCUGUUUUUUGAUGGGCUUUGUGAAAUGACAUUUCCCUAUGAGUUUUUUGCUCGGCAAGGAAUCCACGACAUGCUGGAACACGGUGGGAACAAGAUCCUACCUGUCCUUCCACAGCUCAUUAUCCCGAUAAAAAAUGCCUUGAACCUCCGAAACCGACAGGUCAUCUGUGUCACUCUCAAGGUCCUCCAGCAUCUGGUUGUGUCAGCUGAGAUGGUGGGCAAGGCCUUGGUGCCUUAUUACCGUCAAAUCCUCCCUGUCCUGAACAUCUUUAAGAACAUGAACGACCUCCCUGGUUGCGCCUGCCCGGAGGGAAGGAUUAUUCUGAGUUGUCUGUAACCUGGUAGGGCGAUAUCUAAAGAAAUCAGAAUCCAGCUCUGAA